RNAcentral lists this ribosomal RNA (1017 nucleotides) under uncultured bacterium. Its description in RNAcentral is "bacterial SSU rRNA". It matches the Rfam family "Bacterial small subunit ribosomal RNA", at positions 355 to 1375 of the family's 1533-position model. The record is from RNAcentral.
UGAGGAAUAUUGGUCAAUGGGCGCGAGCCUGAACCAGCCAAGUAGCGUGAAGGAUGAAGGUCCUACGGAUUGUAAACUUCUUUUAUAAGGGAAUAAAGUCAUCUACGUGUAGGUGUUUGUAUGUACCUUAUGAAUAAGCAUCGGCUAACUCCGUGCCAGCAGCCGCGGUAAUACGGAGGAUGCGAGCGUUAUCCGGAUUUAUUGGGUUUAAAGGGAGCGUAGACGGGUCGUUAAGUCAGCUGUGAAAGUUUGGGGCUCAACCUUAAAAUUGCAGUUGAUACUGGCGUCCUUGAGUACGGUUGAGGCAGGCGGAAUUCGUGGUGUAGCGGUGAAAUGCUUAGAUAUCACGAAGAACCCCGAUUGCGAAGGCAGCCUGCUAAACCGCCACUGACGUUGAGGCUCGAAAGUGUGGGUAUCAAACAGGAUUAGAUACCCUGGUAGUCCACACGGUAAACGAUGGAUACUCGCUGUUGGCGAUAGACUGUCAGCGGCUUAGCGAAAGCGUUAAGUAUCCCACCUGGGGAGUACGCCGGCAACGGUGAAACUCAAAGGAAUUGACGGGGGCCCGCACAAGCGGAGGAACAUGUGGUUUAAUUCGAUGAUACGCGAGGAACCUUACCCGGGCUUGAAUUGCAGACGAAUUGCUUGGAAACAGGCAAGCCGCAAGGCGUCUGUGAAGGUGCUGCAUGGUUGUCGUCAGCUCGUGCCGUGAGGUGUCGGCUUAAGUGCCAUAACGAGCGCAACCCUCGUGUCCAGUUACUAGCAGGUUAUGCUGAGGACUCUGGACAGACUGCCAUCGUAAGAUGUGAGAAAGGUGGGGAUGACGUCAAAUCAGCACGGCCCUUACGUCCGGGGCUACACACGUGUUACAAUGGGGGGUACAGCAGGCAGCUACCGGGCGACCGGAUGCCAAUCCCGAAAGCCUCUCUCAGUUCGGACUGGAGUCUGCAACCCGACUCCACGAAGCUGGAUUCGCUAGUAAUCGCGCAUCAGCCACGGCGCGGUGAAUACGUUCCC